RNAcentral lists this ribosomal RNA (439 nucleotides) under uncultured bacterium. RNAcentral describes it as "partial 16S ribosomal RNA". It matches the Rfam family "Bacterial small subunit ribosomal RNA", at positions 339 to 795 of the family's 1533-position model. The record is from RNAcentral.
CUACGGGAUGCUCCAGUGAGGAAUAUUGCACAAUGGGGGGAACCCUGAUGCAGCAACGCCGCGUGGAGGAUGACGCAUUUCGGUGUGUAAACUCCUUUUAUAUGUCAAGAAAAUGACGGUAGCAUAUGAAUAAGCACCGGCUAACUCCGUGCCAGCAGCCGCGGUAAUACGGAGGGUGCAAGCGUUACUCGGAAUCACUGGGCGUAAAGGACGCGUAGGCGGGUUGGAAAGUCAGGUGUGGAAUCCUAGAGCUUAACUGUAGAACUGCACUUGAAACUUCUAAUCUAGAGUAUGGGAGGGGGAGGUGGAAUUAGUGGUGUAGGGGUAAAAUCCGUAGAUAUCAGUAGGAAUACUGAUAGCGAAGGCGAUCUCCUGGAACAUUACUGACGCUAAGGCGUGAAAGCGUGGGGAGCAAACAGGAUUAGAUACCCUAGUAGUC